AGUCGUUCUGCCCAUUGUAUUUAAAAGGCUGCAGUAUAUUAACUGUACAAAGGUAGCAAAAUAAAUAGUUUUUUAAUUUGAAACUUGAAUGAAAGAAUUAAUAAAAUAUAAAUUGUCUCAAUUAUUGAAUUUAAAUUAAAAGUUAAAAUGCUUUUAUUUAUUUAUAAGACGAUAAGACCCUAAGAAUUUUAUAAUUUUUAAUAUUUUAAUAAUUAUAUUAAAUAUAGAUUAUUUUAUUGGGAGGGUAGUAAAAUAAACUUUUAUUUUAUAAAAUAUUUUUAAAUAAAUUUAAUGAUUAUUGUUAUGAUUAUAAGAAUUAAUUACCUUAGGGAUAACAGCGUAAUAAUUUUGGAGAGUUCAUAUUGAUAAAAUUGUUUGCGACCUCGAUGUUGAAUUAAAAUAAAAAUUAAAUGAAGAAAUUUAAGUUUUUAGUCUGUUCGACUAUUAAAAUUUUAC
Molecule: ribosomal RNA, 456 nt
Filed under: Clypearia weyrauchi
Lineage: Eukaryota; Metazoa; Arthropoda; Insecta; Hymenoptera; Vespidae
Description: partial large subunit ribosomal RNA
Rfam family: Bacterial large subunit ribosomal RNA (bases 331-456)
Source: RNAcentral